ACUCCUACGGGAGGCAGCAGUGGGAAUAUUGCACAAUGGGCGCAAGCCUGAUGCAGCCAUGCCGCGUGUGUGAAGAAGGCCUUCGGGUUGUAAAGCACUUUCAGUAGGGAGGAAGGUAGUGUAGUUAACACCUGCAUUAUUUGACGUUACCUACAGAAGAAGCACCGGCUAACUCCGUGCCAGCAGCCGCGGUAAUACGGAGGGUGCAAGCGUUAAUCGGAAUUACUGGGCGUAAAGCGUGCGCAGGCGGUCUGUUAAGCCAGAUGUGAAAGCCCCGGGCUCAAGCCUGGGAACUGGCAUUUGGAACUGGCAGGCUAGAGUUUUGUAGAGGGUUGGUAGAAUUUCGAGGUG
Molecule: ribosomal RNA, 351 nt
Filed under: uncultured bacterium
Lineage: Bacteria
Description: bacterial SSU rRNA
Rfam family: Bacterial small subunit ribosomal RNA
Source: RNAcentral